UUCUUUGUUAUAGGUUCUAUUAGAAGUAAUUUUAGUUUUUUAAGUUGUAUAUUUUUUAGUUUGCUUUUCUUAAAAGGGUUUUGGUUUUAUAUAUGUCACAUAUGACCUGUCAGUAUUUUUCUGUUCAAAGAGUGUAGGAUCCUUCGCCUUUGGGAUACUCUGUUACCUACAUCGCCCCACUCAGAAAAACUAAUAUUGCCUAAUUCUCUAUUUUAUUUGAAAAAAAAAUCUACACAUUUUCAUUUUAAUUAGUUUCUUUUUUCUAUUCUCUAUAUAUGAAAUUAUUUGGUGUGUUCAACUUCGUAGCUCUCUUAAUAUCAACAAUAUAAUGAUCAUUCCUAACUCAAGAAAAUAAAAUGAUCAUUUCCUUUUCAUAAUAAGCCGUGGAUAUCAUUAUUGUAACUAAGACUAGAUCGAUUGAUGCAGAAUGUGAUGUAAUUAGUUGGUGGUAUUUAAUAAUUAGUUGACGAUUUUGAUGUUCUUAUAUAUACACUUAAAUGAAAAAUAACUUUCAUUUAUGCAUAAAAAUAUGGUUACAAUAUUUAGGGAUAUUGUAAAUAUCUUUCAAAGGUUAAUUUAUCUUCCACUCUAACAUCAACCUCUAUACUGCACAUCAAACGAUGGAUGAUCCUAAACCUAAACAGUUUGUUGUUGGCACUUUAAAAGAGUCAUUCUACUUAUCUAAUUUAGAGAAUUAAGCGGCAUAAUAGUUAUAUAACUAUAUUAGCACUUAGACUGAACAAUGUAGGACUAGACUAACUAUAGUGUUUAUCACUCUAAUAAAGUAUGGGAAAUGGUUAAUACGAUCGCAAAUAAUCUUAAUUUUGAACUGACUAAAAAUAACGUUAUAUUAAAAAAAAACUAACUACUCAAGAUGUAAGGAUUAACAGAUAAAAACAUAAUGAUAUCAAUCACGAUAUGGUGAAACGGACCAUUUCAAAAAUGUGAAAAAUAUCAUUUUGUUCCAAACAAAAUCGACACCUUUAGUUGUACAGGCCACUAGAUCGAGGUACUAUAUUUGUCUGACCAAAAAAAAAAAAAAAAAAAGAGAAAAGAAAUUGGACAUUGGCUACUCAAUUGGAUGAUUGAUACCUCUUCAACGUGUUCAGUCUGAAAUCAGAAAUUUAGGCAGUCGGUGACACGAAUGGAACAAAUAAAAAAUUACAUUGCUAAAUUAUUCAAAGUAAGGUUAUAAAAGACGCUAGGUGCUAGUCAGACGACAUGCUGGGGUCUAGUGUCUAUAUGGUUAGGCGGGCUUAGACAGGUGUCUAGGCGGACUAGGCAUAUUUAAGUAAAUAUAUUACAUAUCAUAUAAUUAAUAAGUGUCUAAUUAUACUUGAAAAAUAUAUAAUUUUAGUGGGAUACAUAAAUUGUAAAAUAGAGUGACAUAGAAAUUAUAAAAUAUUAGAACAUAAUAAAAACAUAGGGAACAUGCAUAUCAUGUGGGUUCAUCUAAGUAUUCAACAAGUUUCUUACAAUUUAUUGAAGAAAAAAAAUGACAAAUGAAAGUUACAUAUUUUCUGUCUAAACCUAAGCGGGUGUCUAGGUGGGUCUAGGUAGGUUAGGUGGUAGCCUAGGCAUGUCUAAGCGCUAUUUCUUAAGUUUCAAAUGGCUAAGGAUUAAUCAGAAUGGUGAUUAGACGCCCUGUUUAGACGACGCAAGACGAAAAUUUUUAGACAGUGGUUCAAAGGGAUCCAGUGAGUAAAGACUAGACAGAACACAUGUGACGAAAAAGCUAGGGUUUGCUUCAUUUAACAGCCAAUUUAUUUUUCAAGUGCAUUUUCACCAACAUAGGAGAGACUCAGACCAUGCAUUUAACAUUUAGCGUUUAACAUUUGACAUGACAGAUAAUAUAGGUCUCCUUUCCCUGUGUUGUCGGUGCAAUUUCACAGAUGCAAAAUAGGACCAAUUGCCAAUUUGAUACCACCUCUAGCCUCCCACCCCCUCACCAUCACAGUCGUGCCAACAACCUCUCUAAAUUGUGGAACACAUGCAAAAGUUCUUAUUUUGUGAGAAAAUCUGUAAACUAUCAGAAGAACAAGUUCGAUUAUUGAUCAAUGACUAGAUUUGCCAUUUCUUAAAAUAAAUAAAUAAUCUCAUCGAAACUGCAAUGUGAUCAAUUUAAUGUAAAUAGUCCGGAAUACUCAAUCAUGCAGAAAAUCAAAUAUAAUAUCUCUAUAUAUGUAUAUAGUCUCAAGACUCCACAUGUGGCAUGCCAAGUAACGUCGUUUCAAUGUACAUGAUGAAAAUACGAAAUCAUCAAGUGUUACUUUCCCAUUAAUACAGAAGGAUGAAGAGCCAGAGCCAGGCUGUGUGAAACUUGAAAGCUACGAGUGUGGAGCAAUGGUGAAUUUUAGCCACAAGACGACGUAUAUAUCCUUCAACGUUUUAUAUAAUAUAUUUCAGCAUUAUUCUUCUCUUGUUCCCUUCUUUCUUUUUUGUUUAAGAUUUUUUGGACACGAACAUUUAUUUCAGUGUAUAAUAAUAAUGCAACUUCAUCCUCCCAGUACACAUGGGUCUUUAAUCGCCUCGACUGCAACCAACCGUGCGUAUUCAAUGAGCUCGUCCUGUCGCAUUUUUGCAGCAUAUAUGUGGUUUGCAUCGACUGAUCGUAUAAACUGGAAAAAUGAAAAUAGUUUCACUCAAUUAUACAACACUUCACCACCGCAGGGUCUAUCACUUUGUAUUGCUCUUUCUGCUUUCAAACUUUACACCAAUUCAAUGUAAUAAAUGAACCAUGUUAGUUGUGAUCAACCUUUAUUGUCAAACAGUGUUAGCAUCAGUCAUUUAAGCACUCUAGGCCGUUGAGGCUUGUGUGGAUAUCACAACGCGUUAACGGCUCAUAGUUAGCCAUGAGUGUAUAUAUGGGCAACAUGCUAGCUAGGUUCUAUAUUAUUGGUGCAUGUGAGGCACCAACGUGUCAUAGUCAUACACUGCAUGCAACUGAUGCUAGCUGAUAGGAUUUUUUACUACUCAUGUGAAAGGGCUUAAAUCUCCUAUUUUACUUGCAAGAAUCACAAGGUUAUUGUAGUAUAAACGGAUCUCGCAAGGUCGUCUCCACAGGGAUUAUUAAAUAAUUCGAACUAAUCAGAUUCCAUUUAAUUAUUGUAAAGUAGAAAUUGAAGUGAUUGAUUUUAUAACCUAAUUAAAAUAAAAACGAAAUUAAUGAAUUAAAAUAAACAAUCUGCAAUAUUAGAGCUAGAGAGAAAAGAAAACAGUUUUGGAAGAAUAAAAUUAAGAAAGCACUAGGGUUCCACCAUCACCUAGCAAUCCUAUGAAUUUUUACCAAUUACUUAUAAUCUACACAUGCCAUUUUGAAGAUUAGAUUUUCCUAAUUCAUAUUCUACUUGGAACCUCCAACAUAGAACGUAUAUCUAACAUGCAACCCGUCCGGACGUUCGGAUCAAAUCUAAACAUGAAAGACUCAUUAUGCUUUAUGAAAAUCCUUUGAAAAAUCAUGCAAUCCUUAAGACGUGAUAUUCAUCUUAAGAGAAAUUACAAUUAUUAAUCACAAGAAGUCAGCGUCAAUUUCAGGGAACCUUCCGACCAAAAUUGCAUCAAAUUACUUUUCUAAAGAUCCUAAUGGUGAUCAGGCAUUACGACAAUUAGAUAGUUUUUAUUCCGGUGAUUAACAAUUCAAAGUACGCAUGCAAUCAAUCAUAAGCAAUUAAAUAAAAAUCACAUAUUCAUGCUAAGGCUCAAGGCUUCGCCCUAGCAAAAGAAAUUAGUUCCGCAUAUUCAUAAUUGAUCAUAGAAAAUAUAUUCAAGAAAAGGAUUGAAAGCACCUUCAAGUAAAAAGUCUUCAAAACCCUCCCAAUUCUCUGUCUCCAAAAUUGCAUAAAAGAAAGCGUUCCAGCAAAAAAAAUGGUAGACGGCCAAGCAAAUUAUCUGCUAAACCUCUCCACACAAACCCUAGCAAACUAAAAUUAAUAAAAACCCUAAAUAAAAAUAGCAAAAUUCGUCCAAAAUCUGAACAGCCACGUUUUGACCCAUAAGCUGCUCCAAAACUGGCCCAAUAUAGCUGGAUUUAAUGUUUGGAAUAUUCUGAACACUUUUCCAGAAGGCCACGAACCCAUCCGAGGUCAUCUUGGGCUCCAAAAAUGCAAUUUAAGCCCAAAAACGUCAUUUUCCAACACUGCGCACUGCUUCUUUAUUUUAUCGCCAGAAAAUAACCGCUUGGUGAAAAAUCCCAAAUUUUGAUACGAUCAAGCUAAGUGACUCACGAACAUUCUCCAACUGGAAUUACUCCAAAAUUCGUCCAUUUGAUCCUGUUUUGCUCCAGAGGAAAUCGAAAGUCCUAUAUUGAAAAUACAAUUCAAAGUAUCAAAAUUCUUCCAAAAUAUUAACCAAAAUAUACUAAGAUUAGGGUAAAAUAUAUAAUAUAAAAUCUACUCAUCACUAGCAUAAAUUAUCUUUCAAUCUUAGCUCUACACUAAAAUGUAUGUCGUACGCUCUCAAGCAUACAUAUAGGUUUCUUUUGGUGUCUAGUAUUGAAUGAAUGUUGCAUAAUUCAAUAGAUUCAUUGUACGUUGAAUGACCAAGUUUUAUCCAAAUUGAAAUCAACUUCUAAUUUUGAGCAGGGUUAGUCGUCUAUGCAUUCUAGAUCGUUGAGGCAUGAGAGUAUCACAGGACGUCAAUGGUGCAUGGUCAGCUACACGUGUUUAUGAACAUCAUGUACUAACUUUCAUACUAUAGAUGCAUGUGAGAUUUCAACAUUCUAGUGUCAUAAACUUACAUGUAGACGACUAAUUUUAGCAUAUAUAACUAUUAUGUGUGAGACUUAUCUUUACCCUAAAAAUGUAUGUCAGAAUGCCCUCAAUCUGACACGUAGUGUAGACUUGAAAUAUCAUCUUCCUUGCAUCAAAUUUGAGUGGGAACUUUGAUAAAGAUGAAUGGUCCAUAGUGUAAGGUACAGAGAAAAGUCACUGCACUAGUUGAAUAUAAAGUGGGUUGCAGUUGAAAAUAAAUAUGUUACAAGAAGGGAGUGAAACCAAUUAUUAUUCUACUCAUAAGAGCAUUGAGAUCAUCCUCCCCUCAUGCAUACAUACUAGAAUACAUCUUGUAAAUGCAGCAAAUCACUUCUCCAGGAAAAGUCACAGCAUCUUUAACUGAGUUCCUAAUCAAGAAGGUGACAUAUGUCAAACUUCAAAGGCUUAUUCAACUCACUACUUAAUGUCAGUGUCACAUACAUUGUUUGGAGAUUUUAUUCAACUUCUCAGUCAGACCUUCGCGGCUCUUUUUCUCAUCUUGUAAUAUUUUCUAAUGAUUUGAACAAUGUACUUUCUAGGUUAUCCUUAAAAAACGACUCUACUUAAAAUCAAUCAAAUUACAAAUCAUUUAACUGUUCAAUUAAUGUUGUCAAAUUUCAGCGUCUAAAUAAAAUCCACAAUUGAUCUAUUUAUUGGAUACACGUUAGAUGACUAAAAAAUUUCAUAUUUUGGUUUAUUUUUGACAAUCUUUAAACUUGGUUUAUUUUUAGCAUCCGAAUUUACAAGGCGACCUAGAAAAUGAUAGUUGUGAUCAUGGUACAACAUUGUAGGAUAUGAGAAUGAGAGCCAAGAAGUAGAACGUGAGGAUGAAGGUGAUACUAUGUAUACUAGUCCAAAGGAUAUGGACCAUUUUCUAAAUACUCUUCUUCUGUCGAGACUCAUGGGUAAGAUGGGAGGCAAAAAGUUGCAGGAAUGCGGCGAUGAAGUAAUGAAGUGAUGAAACAAUACAGGGGUUUAGGAUACUAGCCCAAAGGGUUGCCCAAGAGCCCAAACUUUUCCCAGACCCUUUGAAACAAACUUCCCAGCCACCGCCAGUAUUGCAUUCCUUGCAAAAUUAUUACUAACAAAGAAGAGAGAACAUACAAAGCUAGAGUGGGAGAGAAGAUAUUGACAAGUUUAAGAUAAAGCAAUUCCAUUUCUUAUUCAUCACUAACAUUUGAGUCGAACACCUUAAGCUGAAAGUAAUAGCUUAGUUCUAAAUACACAGGGUAAUAAUUGACGGUGCAGCUAUCCACAUCUCAAGCACCCUUCUUAUCAACAAUUUGGUUUCCUCACAACGAGAACGAGGUGUUCAGAUUCCUGAAUUCAGCGUUUUACAAUCUUCGAAGAAACCUGGGUUGACAAACCAAUAUUAAUCAAUACCCAAAAAACACGUCGGAUGCAUGCACUGUUUACCUUAUAAACAAAAGCUUCUUGGGACAAACUACAAGUAAAAGUUGAAAACUCAGUUUUGUUGAGUAACUUAUAUUAACUUUCCGGCAAAAGGAUUCAUUGUUUUCGGUCACAAUACAAGUUCCACGUAUAAACAACAAAGAAAAAUUGCGGGGACUAUGAUCUUCCUUUUUUCCUUCAUUUUUAAGCUAUUCUCGUGUGUAUCCAGUAAUUUUCCACUUCAAGUGAAGAGGCUAAUUAACUAAGCACAAAUAUUUCUUAAGCAUGUGAGGGCAUUACUGGCAGCAGAAACAUUAAAAGUUAAAGCAGCAAAGCGGAUCCCAAAUAUUUAUCUUUGCUCAUUCAAAUAAGGCAACAGAUAAUUUGACGUUCAUGGAGCCUAGGUAGUAGAGCAACAAUCAAACAUAACGCAAGUUAGCAUGGUUGAGGUCCUUGAGGAAUUACAGCAGAGUACCAACCACUCAGUACUCAGGCACAUUGCGAGUGGCAACCACAUCAAAAUAUGACCAUUCUGUGUUCUAAUGAUUAUUUAACGAACUUCAUAAAUAAAAAUUAACCAUGUGUGGGCAUUUAUGGCAGCAGAAGCAUUACAAGCUUAAGCUGCAAAGUGAAUUCCAACGUCUAUUUUUGCACAUUGAGACUAGGCAACUAACAAUUUGAUGAUCACAGAGCCUUGCUCUGGUGCAAUGUCAAACCUAAUGCUAGUUCACAAGACAGACGAACUACAAACCGCUUACUUAGAUUGCUAGUGUGGCAACUACGUCAAGAACAUUGCUCCAGAACUGAGCUUCGAGCGUGUGAUUUUCUGUUCUAGUGCAGUAAAUGGAUAGAAUAUCCCUUCACAGACAAUAAUGACUGAACAAUGUGUGGGUUUUUACUGGCAGCAGAACACUCGAAAUUUAAGCUGCAAAGCGGCUCCCAACAUCGAUUUUGCACAUUGAAAUUAGGUACCCAAUAAUUCCAUAUGGUCGUGGAGCCUAUUUAAUAGUGCAACAAUCAAACCUAUACCAAUUUACCAUUGAGUUAAAUUGGAUUGGAGAAACAUUCAACAACAACCAAGUCUUAUCCACUAAAUACAGUCGGCUAUAUGAAUCAUAAACCGUUACCAUGCUAGGUUUUACACCAAGUCUUUCAUUAACGUACUCCAUAUUUUUCUUUAUGUCUCUUCAAAACUACAGCUGUAUUCAUUUGAAUAACAUUUAAACAAAUCUUGAAUAGGGUUAGAAAUGCAAAAAAAUUGGAAUGUUUGCUUUAAAUUAAAAUUUUGGGGGCACAAAUAUAUCGAAAUCAAACAAUUAUUCUGCAAAUUCAACAAAGAUUGUAAAUUUAUAGACUGAUAAAACGAUACCUUUGGAAUCUGAAUUUGGGGAAGUAGUCCAAAACCCUAAUUUGAGCCGCCAAGAGGGCAAUGGACUGAGAGAACCGUUGGGUUAUAUAUACAGGGGAAAAUGGUAUUUCUUGCCUUGCCCAUUGAACUUUUAUGCGGUUGCCAAUUUGCUCUCUAAAAUUUAAUUUUAGCUGAUUACCGAUUUGAACUUUUUUUAAUUAACCAUUUUCUUAUUGAACUUUAAUUUUAGCCGAUUACCCCCUAACUUCUAUAAAUAGCCAAUCCCCCCCCCCCCCCCAGUGUUGGAUUUCAAAACUUUCAUUCAGAUUUUCAUCCAUCCAAUUUGUCAUCCUUUUUGCCCUCAACAGUUGUCAUGUGUUGUUUCCAAAUUGGAUGAACAACGUCAAGGAGAAUUGGUUAUUUAUAAAAGUUCAGGGGCAAUUUGCUAAAAUUAAAGUUUAAGGGGAAAUUGGCUAAUUAUAAAUUUUCAAGAGGGUAAUCGGCUAAAAUUAAAAUUCAAGAAGAAAAUUGGCAGCUCCAUACAAGUUCAGGAAGCAAAUCGACAAAUAUGCCUUUCUAAAAUUAGGGCAUUGGCAGGGGAAGCCGCUGUAUCCAACGGUUGGAGGGAGAAAUCGCGUAAUCGUAUGGUCAGUAUUUAAUUUCAUCAUAGGGAUAACAGUUAACGGUUUCUGGAUUUUACAGUUCAUGCAAAUUCAGUAAGGGUUGGGCCUUUUAUUAAGUCGGUAACUUAUAAGUUUGGGCUAGGAAAUGGGCUUCAAUUUAAAUUCGGAAUGUGGCCCAUUUUGACUUGGGAAAAUAAAUUCAUGUCGCGGUUGUGCCCCCUCUCUCUCUCUCGAGUUUUUUUUCUUGCAUCUCUCUUUACGUGACUUUACAUCCAUUUGUUCACGUGAUUUAGGAGGAAAUAACUUCUACGUUGCGAGUGCAAUGCACUCUUUGAGUUUUCUCAGUCCUUAUCUUCGGUCACCGGAAAAUAUUAAAAGAUUUUAAUUGAUUUUUAAUAUUUUUAGAAAAUAUAAAAUGAGUAUAAAAGAAAUAAAAACAUAUAAUUAGAUAACUAGACUCAUCCUUAAAAACAUUCAAUGUUUUUGGACCUGGAUCCAAAAGCCCCUUAUUUCAGUAGUUCAUCAAUUUAAGAGUCUUAGCUCAAACAACAUGAUAUUUGAGGGUUAAGAAGGGUGGUUUUCUUUGUACUACAUGCAUUGAGUGUCAUCGUACAAUGACCGUUGUAUUUUACCGAUUCAACGUCUUAAAAUUGGUGAUUCAUGAUCAUUAGAUGUGGUUAGGCAACUUAAAAAGAGAAAUACUAAGGAAACUCUCUAAAAAAAUGUGACUCUUUAUGGGUUUUCUGCCACCUCAUGUCCUGCACAUGUUUUGUAAUAUUGACACAUGAAUAAACUGUGAGGGAACAAAGUCACAUUUUAAGAAAAUCUCCUUAGCAUUUCUUACUUAAAAAAUGUCGACACUCAGUGCUUGUAAGUACCAAAAAAAAAUAAAAAUCAUAUGAAUGGUAUUCAAAGUCUCCAUGUAGGACAAAAUGAAUUCAAAAGUUGUUGGCAUCUACUAUUAGUGUGCAUUUGUUGUACCAGACUAUUUCGGACUGCACUAGUUUUAGAGACUAAGCUGGAGCUGGACUGGCUUAGACUAGACUAAGCUAAAUUAAUUUAGUGAAGCGUUUGGUAUAAUGUCGGAUUAAAAAGCAGAAUAAUAACAAAGUUUACUAUUAUAUUAUUUAAUCAAUAUCUAUUAAUAUUUUAAUAUUUUAAUAUUAAUAUAUUUAUUUAUUCUUUUGUAAUCUUCUUCCUCUCUUAACCUCUUUUUUUUCUUCCGCCCAUCAUCUUCCUCCCUUCUCCCUCUUUUACUCCUUUUUUCUUCGUCCCACUGUCACCCUCCCCACUUCCUCUUUUUCUCCCUUUUCACUUUGUUCUGGUCUUCUCUUCUUCAAAGUAUGAAACUUUGAAUUUGUUUUGAAAUUUUUGAAAUGGUCUAUUUCAUUCAAAUUUUGCAUUGAAUUUUUGAUAUAUGCAUCUCAUUACUGAUCUAAUGAAAAAGGAUAUUCAAAAAAUAAAGAUCAAACAAGGAUCACUUUUUUAUUAGCGAGGUAAUGAAUUUUUUUUUAGAAGGGUUUUUCAUUGAAAGAACAAACUUUUUAAAUUUAUAUGUAAAUAUAUAUAUAUAUAUAUAUAUAUAUUUAUAUAAAAGAAGUUAAUUUGAUGGAAUAUUCGAUUUUUUAAUACCGAAUUGUACUUAUCCUUAUCAUACUUCUUUUGUUUUCCAAGAAGAUUGGAUCAUUAAGAAAAGGAGUUUAUAACUUAGCUCCUUCCUUUUUUUCAUUGAGCUUCUAUUGUUUGUUGGGGUUUGUUCAGAACCAAUGGUAAGUGGAAAGGCGGUUAGAUGAUACUUCAUCAGAUGAUUGUACAAUGAGGACGGUUGGUUAUAGAAAAGAAAGAAUGGAAAAGAAUGAUAAAUAAAGGAAUUACUAAGAAACUAAAUUUCAGUUCCUUGAGAUUACAAUUUCAAUUCUUGGUGUCGGAACAAAUCCAAAGCAGAGCCAGCCAGGUAUUCCUUGGUGAAGCAAAGAUGGGAAAUCUGGGCUGUGGGUUCGUUGGGUUUCAUAAGAGGGAGAGAAAUCAAUUUGAAGCAAAGAAGAGGUUGGGUUGGCGGGAUGAAGGAGAUCAGUGAGACAACAAGAUUUGGUGGCGGGUUCGGCGGGAUGAUGGAGAUCAGCGAGAUGGUAGGAUUUGGUGACUAGAUUUGGCGAUGCAUGCUUGUAGAUCGCAAAUGAUGCAAAUAUUAGAGAGUCAGGAUUAGCAAUCCCAUCUUUUCAGGGGUCCUAGCUAAGACGAGGUAGCGAUGCCUUUAGUCGAAACGAGUUCGACUUAAUCCCAAUAAAGACAAUCCCAGAUCAAACCAAACACGAACUAGUAUGUCAGUCUAGUCCAAUUAAACUUAACGAGCCCAAACAACCAUGCCUUUAAAGUCUUUAAUAACUAGACGGAAAAGGCAGUGCACGAAUCCAUUUGGACAUAAAAUAACGAUGGCAGACAUGCAACGGACAAAUUCAGUGGCCUUGCUCAUUGACCAUAUUCCAUUUAAUGAAGCAUCACUGCAAGAGUCACACCUACCUAGUGUCACAUUUAGUUUAUAUUGCUAUUGCUAAUGAGGAGCAACUUAACCUCUUGCAAUUUUUUUUUUUUUUUUACCGAUGUGAGAGACUGAUUUACUUUCACAUUCUUGUAGGAUGGCUUUCUUUUCGUCAUUAUCAUUAUCAAAUGUAACAGUGCAUUCAUCAUUAUAAUACAUUAUCUUUUCUACCAAAAAAAUGAUAUUCUAAACUAAUUUUAUUUAUAAAAACAAAGAUUUGAACUUAAGUACAAAAGAGUGAAUACACUCUUUAAACAAUUAAUCGAAUGCACGUCAGCUCCACCAUUAUAAUACUUCAUUCGCUUAUUUAGUUUCAAAUAUUAAAUGAGCAUGUAGUAGGAAUUUUAGGCAUCAUUUGGUUUUUAAUUUUGAGAAAUGCUAAGGAGAUUAUAUGAGACUCUCUAUAGAUUCUCUGCCACCUCACAUGUUUGGUACAAUAUUUUAUAAUGUUAGCAGGGAAAUUGUGCCAAAAACAUUAGAUGACUGAGAGUUCAUAAAGAGUCUCACUUUUAAAAGAAUCUCCUUAGCAUUUCUCUUUAAUUUUUAAAAUAGAAAAAUUCAUUUUAAUCCUUAAAAAAAAGUUGAGUUUUAGACUAUAAUAUUGUGUAAAAUUAAAAUCUAAUUUUACUAUCUGAUACAUUUAAUUUUCUCAUUUAUUAAUAGUAUUUUGAUGUUUUAUUCCUUUCGUUUUUCCUAUUUUUGAUGUCUUAAUUACAUUUAAUUCAUUUUCAUUUUCAUUUCAUUCAUCAUAAUAUUAUUUUAUUUUAAUAGCAUUUCUCUUUAGUUUUUAUUUCUUUUGUUUUUCCUAUUUUUGAUGCAUUAAUUUACAUUUAAUUACAUUUCAUUUUCAUUUUCAUUUCAUUUUAAUAGUAUUUUGAUGUUUUAUUUCUUUCGGUAUAUCCAUUGAUACAAAUAUAUGUGUACAUUAAUUCAAUAUAAUACCGUACAUACAUUUUGGUACGUAUAUUUCGGUACAUACAUUUAGGUUCAUUGAAUAUACACUUUCCAAACAUAUGUACAUAUAUCUCAAAAACAUUUUUAUAUCUCCCGGCUCACUACCAUGCCUCUGCACCCGAAGCCAGAGAUUAUUUCUCCCGGCCCGAAGCCAACUCCUAUCUUCGCCCGUAGGUAGAGCAAUGACUACUAGAUGAGCACAAAACAUUGAAUAUACACUUUCCAAACAUAGGUGCAUAUAUCUCAAAAACAUCUUUAUAGCAUAUAGUCAUCCAUCAUAUAUACUAUAAAAAAGUGUGCAAAAAUAUGUUCGUAAGUAGUAUAUAGUCAUGCAUCAUAUAUACUAUAAAGAACAUCAGUUCGAUAAAAUAUGGUAAUUCAAAAUAUUCUCGGUAAGCAUAAUAUCUCAUAAAACGUAAUCAUUAAAACCAUGCUUUCAUGUAUGCAUUUCUACUAUUAAAACAUGCAUUUUUGAAGAGGUUUACUCACAGAUACUUCACCGCCGAAGAGCCAUGCAAACUAGCGAAGACGGAAACGCCACAAUAAAUGCACCUAAGCACAUAAAGGGUCAAAUUAAUAGAACUCUAUCAUAACGAUUGAAUUUGAGAAAAUAGAUCCAGGACGUCGAAAUUAGCCUAGGAUGGGUCCUAAACGAAACUCGAAAAAGUCAACAAAAGUCAAUGUUGACCAGUUAAAGUUAAAGUCAACGAUCAACGUUGACCGUGUCAACGGGUCCGGGCUUGGUCAAGUCAACUAGGUCAAAGGGUUUGGGUCAACCAGGUUGGGCCCAAAGGGUUUGGGUCCAAUGGGUUUUAAGGUUUAAAGGGUAUUGGGCUUGAGGUUAUCAGGCCAGAGGCCUAAGUGGAUUGGCCUAAGGGCUUAGGGUCUAUUCUUUUGGGUCAAAGGGUAUGGGCUUGAAAGCCCGACCCAAGGUAAGGGUUUUAGAAAAUAUAUAAAAUAAAAUAAAUUAAAUAAAUGGGUUGCAUUGGGCUCGAGUUCCACGGGCCAAGGGCCCAAGUUCUACAUGCCCCGAAUGCCUGAUCCUUUUAGGUUUUUUGGGUUUAGUUUCAACGGGCAUUGGGCCUGACAGCCCAGCCUAAAAGUCCUAGGCCCAAAGGCCUGGAUUGGUUUCUCGAUGGGAAGGAAGCCAGAGCCUUCCGUGCUCUAGUCAACGUCAAACCAACACUAUAAGGUAUGAUUUAACCGUGAAAUUGAAGGUGGAGGUGAAAGGGAAAGGUUCCUUACCUUUGAUUGCCGUGAUAUGGAUGAAAUUGGCCGGAGAUUUGAGCUCGACUCCAGGGCUUGCCAAACCUGGGUGCGCUGUGGGUGUCCCAAUGCUUCACAAGGACAUGGGAGAGGGAGAGAAGGUCCAAGUGAUGAUGUUGAUGUCGUCCUUCGUCGGAAGGGAUUGUGUAUAAGUGUGUGAGUGCGGAUCGCCGGGGAGGGGAGAGAUGGGUGUAGAGAGAUAUGUGAGAGUGAGAGGGAUCCGAGAGUGUGAGAGAUAAGAGAGUGACUCGAGUGAGAGAGAGAGUGAGGUGAUGGGGUGUGGGAGCUGCUACGUGGCAGAAAAAGAAGAGGGGAACUGGGGAAACAGAACCGAAGGUGGGCCCCUAGUUGAAUAUCAGAGUGCGCAACGAACAAGACUAACAAAUAAUAUGAAUUUUAUUAAAAGAACGCGAAUGCCGAAACGGCUACAAAACCCUAAGAGACUACAUUGUGGCUAACUUGAUUCUCAAACUAAAUUACAAGCUCUAUUUAUAGAGCAAUAAACCAAAGAAACCCUAAUGCGUAAAUGCCAAAAAUACCCUACUACAAAAUCAAAUCAAAUCUCUAAUUAAUUUCCUAAAUAAACCUAAUAAAUUCUAACACCCCCCGUCAAACUCAUGGCGGUACACGACAUGAGUUUGCCAACAAGCAGAUGUGGAUGCAAGCCUCCAAAUUCCGAUGCCGAUGCCGAUGCCGAUGUCGAUUCCAAUUUCCGAUGCCAAUUUCAAUACGAAAUUUCACCAGUGUAAGUACAAGAUUCCAAUGCCAGUGCAAAUUCCAACUUCCGAACAAACAAACAAAAAACCAUAUUCAAAACCAUAUUUUUUCUUUGCCCGUGUGGGCCUAAGCCUCAAACCAGCCAUACUUUUUUCCAUUUCUUAUGACCUGGGGUCUUCUCCAGAUCGCAAAACCAAAUGAUGCAGCAAACAAGUCUUGCAAAAUAAAGGGAUUGCAGCCGACAGAACAACUCUAGUGAAAAGUCAAACUGCAGAAGGGAAAGCCUAAACGAGACCAAACAGAGUGACCAAGAACAAGGGACACAGAGCAAAGCGGAAGCGAAGCCUAAACGAGACCAAAACUAAACCAAAAACAAAAUGCGACAAAACAAAUUGAUACCAACAAGAACGGAUUGAACCCUAAGGAUCGAACCCGCUCUGAUACCAAGUUGAAUAUCAGAGUGCGCAACGAACAAGACUAACAAAUAAUAUGAAUUUUAUUAAAAGAACGCGAAUGCCGAAACGGCUACAAAACCCUAAGAGACUACAUUGUGGCUAACUUGAUUCUCAAACUAAAUUACAAGCUCUAUUUAUAGAGCAAUAAACCAAAGAAACCCUAAUGCGUAAAUGCCAAAAAUACCCUACUACAAAAUCAAAUCAAAUCUCUAAUUAAUUUCCUAAAUAAACCUAAUAAAUUCCAACACCCCUUGGCACACAAUUAAGGUUUGAAAGCAACCCAUUUCAAAACAAACAUUCCAAAAUUAGUGAAAUUACAAAAAUACUUUUUUUUGUUUCGUAAAUCCCGGAACGGGUUGUCACAAUCUGGACUCUAUACUUCGUCUACUUUUCUUUUUCAACUGCUCUUUCCAAUUCCUUAUCAUUCCAAUAUGACUAUGCUGGCUUUGUUUUUUCGUGUUAGAAUGAUUUGAAGUUGAAUGAGAAUUUAGAAUUGUUCGAAAUGUUUUGAAAUGAAUAUAUGAAGUUAUGAACCAUCCAUAGUUGAAUGAGAUCAUCAAUUGUUUCUACUUGUCAUGUGCACAUUGGUCUGAAGUUCCUCUUUUCGGAUAUGAGGAGAUUUUUAUUUAGCAUUCGAACUCAUGUGAAAAUCCUUUUAAAAUGAUUAAAAACACUUUUAGUGAAAAUGUUUUUAAAAAGCCCUACAAAACACAUAGAAGUGGCUCCUACUGUUGCGCUCCACUACCUUUUCCCAUUUACUACCCAAUUUGUUUACGGUGUCAAUUGUUAAAGUUUGAACAAAUAACGUCUAGGAUUUGAUAACAUCUUUCUAUAUUUAGGGUCAACAGAUACCUAAGUGCCAGGUGAGUCACAUCAUUGAUGCCCUGGAGUUGGUAUAUGCAUCAAUGACUGAAAAUUACACGAGCGCAUUUGGACGAUGUACCACUAGCAUAUUCAGUGACUUUUUCUUCUUCUUGGUCAAUAGCAAAAUCAAUAACUGGGAGCUACACACAAGUAGUUAAACAAUUGUGUCAAUAAUAAAAUUAAUGAUCAAAAAUCACAUACGAUUAGCCGCCAUCAUUGCAUAUAGAAUGAAGAAGAAAAUAAAAUGGGACCAUGAAGAAAAUCAAAUGGGACCAUGAGUCAUAGCUUCCGGGGUCCAAUAAAGAUAAGUUGCCAAUUUUCUACUUCUAAAACUUUAUUUCUCUUGAAAAACGAUAUUUAAGUGAAAAACUAGGUAGCAGAACGCAUUGAAUCUUUUUUAGUGGAAGCAGUCAUUUUUGACAAUUUUCAACCCUCGAUUGAUUUCCUUGUUGGCUUUUACUUACAAUACGGCAAAUUCUUUGUGCGACAUAUUUGCACCUAAUAUCCACUAUUAUUUUCACUCAUCUACAAAGAGAAUCCAAAAGUAACAAACCCCCAAAUAAUAGUAGUAAGGUGACCUAAAACAAAUGAUUCCAUGCCCCACUUAUCGCUUUAAUGAUUGAACACUGAGAUGAAUUGUAAGCUUACAUGAUAAUAAUAUUUGUUUUUUGUUCAUCAACAGAAUGCUGCGUACCUGAUCAUUCGAGGCAUGAAGACCUUGCAUCUUCGUGUGCAACAACAGAAUUCAACAGCAUUGAGGAUGGCCAAAAUUUUAGAGGCACAUCCUAAGGUAUAUAUUUUGUAAACUUAAGUAGCAUUAACCCCUGGGAGGCUAACUAAAUAGGUUACCAGUGUGCGAUUAUUGUUGGAAAGAUUAUAGUACAAAAGUUUAUGCUGGGAUUCACCACUUCGUAUUUGAAAACAGAUGUUACUGAAAAUGUUUAUCGGCAGGUGGCACACGCCUAUUAUCCUGGUUUGCCUAGCCAUCCUGAACAUCAGCUUGCCAAGAGGCAGAUGACUAGUUUCGGUGGUGUUGUCAGUUUUGAGGUGAACAUUAUCGACGCUGUCCCUUUCUGGUAUGCUGUUAUUAUAUUCAUUUGGUUAAUAAUGUUCCUUGAUUAUGCAGAUUGAUGGAGACUUUAUGAGAACCAUUAAAUUCGUGGAUGCACUGAAAAUCCCAUAUAUUGCUCCAUCCUUUGGUGGCUGUGAGAGCAUUGUGGAUCAGCCAGCCACAAUGUCUUACUGGUAUCCCUCUUAACUCUUUUAUCUUAUGGUGGCUUCAUAAAUUUGAAGUUGUCAUGCUAUGUGGUUGAGUCUGAUAAAUUGGGUAGACCUGUGAUCUUGACAUAUCACCGUAUCAAGUCACACCAGAUACUGCAUGAAGGUGCCUACGUUCAGGUGCUUUGGCAUUCCUAGACAUGGUAGUGCAUUAAUUGGUUAAUAAUAUGUUUCUGGUAAAAGAAACAUGGUGUGCCCUGGAUAGAUGUCUACAUGUCGUAUUCGAUAGCAACAUUUAAAGCAUGUUAUGCGAAGCUUAACCAAUUAAACUAGCGGAAAUUGUUCAAGUUGAAGUUUACAGUAAUGGAUUUUUCGUUGAUGCAACUGCUUGGUCGUUUAUACAUUGAUUUCGCUUGAUUACUUUAGGCGGGCUGAAGAUACAGUAAAAGGCCAAUGAUUUCUUCUGUUUGCUGUGUUUUGAUGCUCUUGAAACAGGGAUCUCAGCCAGUCAGAUAGAAUCAAGUACGGGAUGAAAGAUAACUUGGUCCGUUUCAGCUUCGGAGUGGAAGACUUUGAAGAUCUCAAGGCAGAUAUACUGCAGGCCCUGGAGACCAUAUGGACUGUGGCCUGUUUCUGUUUUAUUUCCCAUGUCCAUUGUUGCAUUGGUGCUUCAAUUGACUUUUAUCACCAAUAUGUGAGUUGUGUGGCUCUUACUGUUGCUCUCCACUACCUUUUCACAUUUGCUACCCAAUUUGUUUAGGGUGUCAACUGUUAAAGUUUGAACAAAUAACGUCUAGGAUUUGAUAACAUUUUUCUAUAUUUAGGGUCGACAUAUACAUAUGUGCCGAGUGAGUCACACCAUUGAAGCACUGGAGUUGGUAUAUGCAGCAAUGACUGAAAAUCACACGCGCGCGUUUGAACGAUGUACCACUAGCAUAUUCAGUGACUUUUUCUUCUUCUUGGUCAAUAGCAAAAUCAAUAACUGGGAGCUACACACAAGUAGUUAAACAAUUGUGUCAAUAAUAAAAUUAAUGAUCAAAAAUCACAUACGAUUAGCCGCCAUCAUUGCAUAUAGAAUGAAGAAGAAAAUAAAAUGGGACCAUGAAGAAAAUCAAAUGGGACCAUGAGUCAUAGCUUCCGGGGUCCAAUAAAGAUAAGUUGCCAAUUUUCUACUUCUAAAACUUUAUUUCCCAUGAAAAACGAUAUUUAAGUGAAAAACUAGGUAGCAUAACGCAUUGAACCUUUUUUAGUGGAAGCAGUCAUUUUGACAAUUUUCAACCCUCGACUGAUUUCCUUGUUGGCUUUUACUUACAAUACGGCAAAUUCUUUGUGCGACAUAUUUGCACCUAAUAUCCACUAUUAUUUUCACUCAUCUACAAAGAGAAUCCAAAAGUAACAAACCCCAAAAUAAGAGUAGUAAGGUGACCUAACUUUGUAUUUUUAUGUUAAUUUUGAUGCCUGAUUUCAUUUUUGUCGACCGUUGAAUUGUCAUGAAAUUUUAUAAUGUUGUUGUGUAAGUAGUAUGAUGCCCUAGGAAAUUUACGGAUUGGAUACCCAAUGUACGAAUCUUUUAGAUUGGAAUACUUAGAGUUGAUGACCUUAGGGGGAUCACACUAUAUUAUAUAUGUCUAUAUUUCUGCCUGAUUAAACCGCAAUGGGGACCACACUAUUAUAUACAUAUCAUCAUCCAUCGUUGGCAUAGUGUUUUUCUAUAAGAACAUCUAAUGAAAAUUGGAAGGUGCAAAACGUCUUAAAAUGUGUAUUUUACAUUUUUGGUCGGCCGGAAAACUCCAAUGGAGAGGUAUAAAUAUCCAUGUUGACGCUCACAAUAUACUUUUUGUUUGAAAUGUUAUUUCUUAGAGUAAAUAUCAUAUACUGUGAGUAAACAUUCGGUAAUAACUUGAGCUAUCACGAAAUCUUCUUGCAUAUAUUAGUCAUUAGGUUGUGAACAUUCUUGCAGUUACAAGUUAAAAAGCUACAAUAUCGUGUGCAAAUAACGUAGAACUCGAUUGGAUGUACUUUUAAAAUAACUGAAAGCGAUUUUGGUGAAACUAUUUUUGGAACCAAUCUUUAGUAAAAAUACAAGUAAAUUCUGGAAAAACACUUAAAGUGAUUCCUAGAAGAAGCACGUAACUGGUGCUUCUUGCAGAAAUCACUUAAAAUGCUUUUGGAACCCAAAUUUUUUUCUCUAAAAACGUUUUCAACUAUUUUAAAAAUACAUCCAAACGAUCUUGUAAUUCAAGUGAUUAACAACGUUCAUCGAAUGUCCAAAGUUACGAAAAAAAUAAAAAGUUGCAACUCAAUAUAGUGUGUAAAAUUGGAAUUUUGUGACUCAAAAAGUUGGUACAAAUACAUGUUGCGAGUCAGAUUCCACGUCUUGGACCAAAAGAAAAGUCAGAUUCCACGUCGGCAUCAAGCCAACUGGACCAACUUGGUAAAUAAAACCAAAAAAAAUCAGUAAAAAAACAAAAUCAUAAAAUUACAGAAAAAGAAAAGGCGCGUAUUAAAGCUGCAACGCAUUUGCUCUCAAUGUCGUCCAUUUCUUCCCAACCUCGUUUCGUGACGAACCCAAAAUCCCGAAAACUCGAACCCCAUCACUCACCCAUGGCCGUCUGCUCGUAUCCUCCUAGGGUUUUCACUUCCUCCCAGCCCGGCACCCGCCCCCGAUUAUCGGGCCGGGUCGACCCGACGGUGCCGGUUCACGGCCUCUCCUCUCUCAUCCUCAGGUUUCCCCCGAACUUCGUCCGCCAGCUCAGCACCAAGGCCCGCAGGAACUGCAGCAACAUCGGCGUCGCGCAGAUCGUCGCCGCCUCUUGGUCGAACAACAACCCCAACUCUGGCGUGUCGGCGGCACCGUCGGCUACAGCCGUCGAUGCCGCCGCCACGGCCGCCAUUUCCGUCGAUCCGGCCCAGAUUUCGGGCGGUGACGAGGUGGCGGUGUUUGAAAAUGGUGUACAGUUGGGGGAGGCCUUGCCUUUGAAGGAGGCCUCGUUCUUGAGCUCCGAUGGGAGCCUCGCAAUUCAUGCUGGUAAUUUAACUAUAUUUUAUGGGGUUUUUUUAAUUAUGAUUUGCUUGGAUUAUUGUCUUAAUGUUACAAUUAAAAAGCUCAGUUCUUGAUAAUUAUGCGGUGAUUAGCGUGUGAGUAAAAAUUGGGACUUUUUGUUUUUGUGAAGGUGAAAGAUUGGGACGCGGCAUAGUAACUGAUGCAAUUACAACCCCAGUGGUUAAUACUUCUGCCUACUUCUUUAAGAAAACGGCUGACCUCAUUGAUUUCAAGGUAUGCAAUCACGCAUUCCAUAUACUUAUAUUUUCUUACGAUUUUCUGCAUAAUUGGGUGUAACUUUUUUGUAAUAUGCUGCAAAAGUUUGAAACUUUAAGAAAACAGACGAUAAAAUUGUGUUUUAUGUAUUGGGUAGCUGGUGAUUGAUGUGUUCUUGGAUGGUUUUGGUUUAUUGUCCUUUUACCUUGUUGCAGGAGAAACGCGCAACAAGUUUUGAAUACGGGCGGUAUGGAAAUCCAACUACAGUAGUGGUUGAGGAGAAGAUCAGGUUUGCAUGUCUUUCAUUCUCUUUUGUAUUUUAAGCCUGCCUUUUGUGCUUCGAAUCUAUGUGUUGAAUGUUUAUUGAGGCCAUGUUGUGGUGAACUGGUGAUGGUUAGUGCGCUUGAGGGAGCGGAAUCAACAAUGAUAUUGGCAUCUGGAAUGUGUGCUUGCACUGUCAUGUUGAUGGCAUUGGUUCCAGCUGGUGGGUAUAUCGUGACCACCACGGAUUGCUAUAGGAAGACUAGGAUUUUCAUUGAGACCAUUCUUCCAAAAAUGGGGAUCACGGUAAAAUUGUCCUGUUCUCAUUUUGUGCAAUGAUGUUGUUCUGAAUCUAGAGCAACAGAAUACAGGUGUUACUUUUCAAAUCGCCUGUGAUCCUUUGUUAGUGUUUAUACUUAUAGAUUACCACUCUCUAUGCAGGCCACAAUCAUUGACCCUGCUGAUGUGGGAGCCCUGGAAACUGCAUUGGAUGAGCACAAAGUCAGUGAGAAAGUAUUUAGCUUGCUUUUUUGAAAUUCUCUAUAACUUAGCAAAUAAUGGUGACCCUGAUUGUUUGUAAAAUUUACUUCGGGACAGGUGUCUCUUUUCUUCACAGAGUCUCCUACUAAUCCAUUCCUCAGGUGUGUUGACAUUAAGUUGGUUUCUGAGCUCUGUCACAAAAAAGGGGCGUUGGUCUGUAUAGAUGGCACUUUCGCCACACCUCUCAACCAGAAAGCCCUUGCCCUUGGGGCAGAUCUUGUUGUGCAUUCUGCAACGAAAUUUAUCGGUGGCCACAAUGAUGUAAGUCAGCAAGUGUCGAACCUAAUCAUUUGGAGUGAAUACUCAGUGUAUCAAUUAUUGUAAAGACUAAGCAAGUAUCAAUAUCUUAUUUCAGGUCCUUGCUGGUUGCAUUAGCGGUUCCAUGAAAUUGAUUUCAGAAAUUCGUACUUUGCAUCAUGUUUUGGGUGGUGCUCUCAACCCGGUGAGUCAUGUUUGUGGGUUAUAUAUGUUUCUCGUCUCUUAUUAUUCUCAGUUGUCACGUUGAUUGAUGGUGUUAAUUUCUACUUCCAUUAAGAAUGUAGGGUACUUCAACAAAUGAUUCCAUGCUCCCACUUAAUGCUUUAAUGGUUGAAGAAUGGAAUGAAUUGUAAGCUUACAUGAUAAUAAUAAUUGUUUUUUUUUUCAUCAACAGAAUGCUGCAUACCUGAUCAUUCGAGGCAUGAAGACCUUGCAUCUUCGUGUACAACAACAGAAUUCAACAGCAUUGAGGAUGGCCAAAAUUUUAGAGGCACAUCCUAAGGUAUAUAUUUUGUAAACUUAAGUAGCAUUAACUAAUGGGAGGCUAACUAAAUAGGUUUCCAGUGUGUGAUUACUGUUGGAAAGAUUAUAGAACAAAAGUUUAGGUUGGGAUUCACCGUUUUGUAUUUGAAAACAUAUGUUAUUGACAAUGUUUAUCGGCAGGUGGCACACGUCUAUUAUCCUGGUUUGCCUAGUCAUCCUGAACAUCAGCUUGCCAAGAGGCAGAUGACUGGUUUCGGUGGUGUUGUCAGUUUUGAGGUGAACAUUCUUGGCGCUAUCCCUUUUUGGUAUGUAGUUAUUAUAUUCAUUUGGUUAAUAAUGUUCCUUGAUCAUGCAGAUUGAUGGAGACUUGAUGAGAACCAUUAAAUUUGUGGAUGCACUGAAAAUCCCAUAUAUUGCCCCAUCCUUUGGUGGCUGUGAGAGCAUUGUGGAUCAGCCAGCCAUAAUGUCUUACUGGUAUUCCUUCUAAUUCUAUAUCUUAUGGUGGCUUAAUAAAUUUGAAGUUGUUAUGCUAUGCGGUUGAGUCUGAUAAUUUGGGUAGAUCUGUGAUCUUGAUAUGUCACAAUAUCGAGUCACUCCAGAUAACGUGUGAAGAUGCCUAGUUUCGGGGUUUUAGUCAAAAGUUAAUUUCGUAAUCAAAUAGCAGGUGCUUUGGCAUUCCUAGACAUGGAAGUGCAUUAAUUGGUUAAAAAUAUGUUUCUCGUAUUACCAAAAAUAAAUUUUACUAUGGAAACAUGAUGUACCCUGGAUGGAUGUCUACAUGUUGUAUUCAUAGCAACAUUUAUAGCUUGUUAUGCGAAGCUUAACCAAUUAACUUAGCCGAAAUUAUUUUCGUUGAAGUUUACAGUAAUGGAAUUUUCGUUGAUGCAACUGCUUGGUCAUUUAUACAUUGAUAUUGCUUGAUUAAUUUAGGUGGGCUGUAGAUACAGCAAGUCAGAUAGGAUCAAGUCCAUGAUUUCUGAUUGCUGUGUUUUGAUGCUCUUGAAACAGGGAUCUCAGCCAGCCUGAUAGGAUCAAGUACGGGAUCAAGGAUAACUUGGUCCGUUUCAGCUUCGGAGUCGAAGACUUUGAAGAUCUCAAGGCUGACAUACUGCAGGCCCUGGAGACCAUAUAGACUGUGGCCCGCCUCAUAUGCGGUUUUCUGUUUUAUUUCUCUUCUCCAUUGUUGCAUUGGUGCUUCAAUUGACUUUUGAUCACCAAAUGCUUUGUUCGGGUCCACUCGAUGGGUCGUUGUCGAUUCCAUCCGGACCCUAAACUUUGUCUAAUUUUCUUUUCCAAGUGCUCUUUCCAAUUCCUUAUCAUUCCAAUAUGACUAUGUUGGCUUUGUUUUUUCGUGUUAGAAUGAUUUGAAGUUGAAUGAGAAUUUAGAAUCGUUCCAAGUGCUUUGAAAUGAAUAUGAAGUUAUGAACCAUGGUUGAUCAUCAACUUUUUUCUACUGUGAUAAAUAAAACAGGAGCUGCUAUUUGCGCAGCAGAAUAGUUAUAGUGAACCAAUGCAAGGAAGAGUUGAGGAUGACAUUUUGAAGUGCUAAUAGCAAUUUACGUCGGAAAAGAGAUUUUUUAUGUGUACAUCGGUCUCCUCUUUUCAGAUACGAGGAGAUUUUUAUUUUUAGUGUAAUCUAUUGUGUGCGUACACUAGGUUUUUCAACCAUUGGAUUUUUUGUUAAAGAUUCAUUGACCAAGAUUUCACAACUGCAAAUUUAGAUGCAGUUGCGUAGGGCUUUAAAGUUGAAUGAACACAAACAAACUCUACUGCCCGAAAGUCGUAUGAAGAAGUCUUUUCCAUUCUGUCUGUUUCUUCGAGAUAAACAAGACUUAUUCUAUGAAAAAUCGUUCCGGCCAAGAAAAAGGCCAUAGGAUUUGAGAGAGAUCUAGCUAGUGAAGUUCACGUAGAUGGCGCUUGGUGAUCAUUUCAUCGGUAUUUGGCAUGCACGGUACACGAAUGAAGGACGGGAAAUGGAUGGUAUUAACCCAGAAUAUUUCUUAUGUCUCCAGCUAGAUACAGUUUGAUGCGCGGUGAUCCUUGAUUGAGGAUAAAUCGUAGGUUAGAAUGACAUAACUAAGACCGGUGACUUUUUAUACCUAAAAAAUGGCGCCGUCAAUGUACUUUGAAGCAUGCUAGAAUAUUUGGGAUACGAGUUUCGAAAUUCGGAAAGGGAUCGUCUCCGGAUUCCUUCUCCCUAAUCCAUCAAAUCAGGGAAUCCGUGUCAUUAAAAUUUGAUCAAACAGCUACAAAUAGAAGCCCACUCAUUUUAAAAGUUAUAAUAUCGUUAGAUCAAAUUUCAAUAUCACGGAUGCUCUUAUUUGAUGGAUUAGGAGGAAGGGAUCCGGAGACCCUAGUGGUCCGAAGUGUAACAUUUUCCAUUUUUGAACCUCAUUCAAGUUGUCGUGGUGACGGAUUUAUCAAAAUCGAAUGCCGUCUGCGGAUCGAGGAUGAGAGAAUAUGCGCAGCAACAUGAUCAAACAACGUAAAAACAACCAAAUAAAUCUGAAACUUUUGGAGAGUAUUCGGGUAAGGAUGAAAAAUCCAAAUGCACACCAACAAGAAAUGUACUUGAAAAAACCACCCCACCUCUCUCUAGCCCACUUUCCAAAUAUUCCCACUUGAGAGACAUUCUCAGGAUCCGGAUUAAAUUUAAUUUCUCUCUCUUAAUAUAAGAGGAAAUCCUGUGAGCAGUUGAUCUCCAGAGUUUGUUGAAAAGCCAUGAAAUUCGGGAAGAAGUUCAGGACCCACCUGGAGGAGACGCUCCCGGAGUGGAGGGACAAGUUCCUCUGCUACAAUCUCCUGAAGAAGCUCCUCAAGGGCUUCCCUGCCACCGCGGCUGCCAUAGCCGCGGUGGAUUCCCUCCCUCGCCAACUCGAGUUUCAGCGCCAGCCGGCAGAUGCCCAUCCGGCCGCUGCUGAUGGAGGUGAUGGUGGGUUCCACCCUUUGGCCGGACUCCAGGAUUGGUUCGUUGCGAUUCUGAAUGAGGAGCUGGAGAAGUUAAACAAUUUCUAUGUGGAUAAGGAGGAGGAGUUCGUUAUCCGUUUCCAGGUUAUUAUGAUUGCCUUUUUUUCUUCGUGUUUUCUUGAAUCUGCAUGUGUGGAUACAUAAAUACGCGCUUUAAUUUUGAUGGGUAGUUGAUGGAUUUGGCUUGCUUGUUAUGGAUGUUACAAAAAUUCAAUCUUUCUCUUCGUGUUAAGCGAUUUGCAGAUACUGGUGUUAUGCUGGUCUCUUAGGCCUUGAUUGGUUUCUAGUAACGGAUUGGAUUGGAUAACUCACUACGUUUAGUGUAAGUUGAACGAAGAAAUGGAAAUUUUGUCCGAGUUGAUGGUAAGAUUCAGAGGAUUCAGAGGGAGAAGUUUCUUUCAUGGCAGGAAUUCGGAGCUUGCGUCCAUUUCUUCAUUCAAGAGCCUUUGAAUCUAGUGAGUUAUCCAAUUCAAUCGACACCAAACGAGAGCAGGAUCUUAAGAUGAUUGAUAGGCACGAGUAGGAGUAGGAUGGCAUCUGUAAGCAAGUGCAUUUUAGCUAAGGAUUGUGUGUGGCUGGAACGAUUUGUUGAGAUAGAGUAGUGGUAAAAGAACACAGAAGAGUUCUAAAAUAUUUCUUGAAAACAAGGGAAGUUUUCAUAAUAAACAGGUCGAGCCUCGAGUCUCAACUAGUUGAAUUUCUCUUUUGAUCAUUAAAGUCGAGAACCUUUUCACUUAACUAAGAUCUCUCUCCUGGAUCAACGAAUGGUGUGUAAAUGGAAGUCUGUAUUUGUGUGGUGCUUGUUCGCUUGAAGCUAAGCCUUUUUUUUCCUGGUUAUCUGCUCUCAUCUGCAAACUGCAAUAAUGACAGGAACUGAAAGGAAGAAUCGAGAGCGUCAAUGAAAGGAGCAGCAGGGGUGGUGUAUUUACAUCAGAGAGCGAGUUCAGUGAAGAAGUGAUGGACAUCCGUAAGGACUUUGUCACCAUCCACGGGGAGAUGGUGCUUCUAAAAAAUUAUAGCUCGUUGAAUUUUGCAGGUACAACAGCUACUUCUUUUCACCUUCCAUAUUUAGCCUGUAUUGUACAACCGUUAGCAUCAGGGAAUUUCUUCAUUAUAUAUCUGCGUUAUCUAUUGCUAAAAUCAGCUGUCUUCUGGCUCAAUAGGGCUUGUCAAAAUUCUAAAGAAGUACGAUAAGCGAACUGGAGGAGUGUUGCGUGUACGUUUCACGCAACUAGCCGUACGCCAGCCUUUCUUUACAACAGAACCUCUCACGAGGCUAGUCCGUGAAUGCGAGGCAAAUCUCGAGCUUCUCUUCCCUUUGGAAGCGGAAAUCAUUGAAGGUACACCAACCACACAAGAUGAAACCACCCCAGACACAGGUCACUCAAACCCACAAUCCAAUGCUUCGGCAAAUAUUGCAUCUGAGACACCUUCAAACAUGGAGGCAAACAUGGAGGCAAACACGGAUAUAUAUCGUGGGACUGUUGCUGCAAUCAAAGCCAUUCAAGGCCUUCAAAACCCAAGCUCCACUUCCAGCCCAUGGUCGCUUUCAAAUCACUUAAGAAGCCAGGACGAGGAGAGCAGCGGUGCUGUCACAGCCGAAAAUUCUACGUCAAACUCUGUAGGCAGCUGGCAGAGCGAAGAGGAGGAUGACCAGUUGUAGUAGUGUUUAACCGAUCAGCUCCUGCAAUACAUCCUCCGUUUCUGAUCAAGAGGACGACAGUGUGCGUAACAGCGUUUAUCUUAAUGCUUUCGGUGUUACAUUCUUGUUUCCGCUUCUUGUGGCAACCGGAAUCCUAAACCCUAGGAGAAAUUUACCAUAGCAUAAUAGCACUAAUCUGAAAGUGGUGUAGUUCUUUCAGUAGUACUUUUCAAUGUUGUGCAGUUUUCUCAUUAGCAUUUGCUUGAAACUUAAAAUGUUGAACAACUUCACUAGAGCUAAAUCUCAUUCUGCUCUUCUUUUGUUAUCUUUUGAUUUUUGGUUCAUUUGUAACGCGUAGUGAUUUUGGCACACGUUUUUAUGCAUGAGAAGAAAAUGAAUGCGGAAAUUAUUUUCCUUGCAUAGCAUAGAACGAAUGACAAACUCCAACCAUUAGGAGUCUCGUUCUCAUGGUCAUCAGGUGACUAAGGAUGCAUGAUCAUUCACCUUAGAUUUGAUAUUAAAACAUUAAUAACACGUUCAUUCAUUAUCUUCCUUAAUAUCCGAAGAAGAAAGAACACCCAGAAACCCUCCGCCCGUGUAGAGAGUAGAAAUUUUUUAUGAUAUUGAAAUCUUCAAUGAGACAAACGUAACAAGAUAACAAGUCCCUAACCAUUCAUUUUUCACUUCUUUCUUGGGUCAUUUCAAUUCAUUUCAGAUUUUUUUUUUCUUGAGAAUCUUCAGAAUUGAAGGAUGAGCAUUUGAGGACUUUUCUCCAAGAGGACGUCAAUUUUUUGAUGUCCUUUUUGGGGAGACAAAAGAAAGAAUUUGAACCACUUGGUGGCCUCCUCCAUUUCUGUUUGGAUAGCAAUCUCUGGCUGGCUCUACUGUUUAAGUGGCCAUCAAAUUCAGUUGUAUCCACAGGUUUUAUGGCCCCAAAAUUAACUGCAAUAAUUGAGUGAGGCAUCAAGUUGCGUGCUGAUCUUUCAACCCUUUACUCAAGAUGUGGAUGUAGCCACGUUAGUUAGAGUGGUGGUGUUCUCGUUAUGCACUUGAAUUCCUUCCCUGUAGUUUAGAAUAUCGUUAAAAAAGUAGGAAAACACUUUAAACACUUGAUAACAAGCAAGAUAGGGUGUGUUCACUUUCCUUUUUGUUCAGUCUUCCAAACAAAAAUGAAGAGAACAAUUACAAUUGCCUAUUUUUCACUCAUAUUUUGCAAACAAAACGAAGAAAAGUGAAAAUAAAAAAUAAAAUUCUGCAACUUUCACUCCUAUCAUAUUUUGUCCAUGGAAAACAUGUUCAUCCGCUCCUGGUGUGAUCACGGUCGUAGUUGAAGGGUAGGGGUACAGACUUGAACGCCCGAUACUUUCCGACGUUGUUCAAGUGCUCAUUCUCCAACCUGCUUGGUAAAACAUCGAAUGCUUAUUAGUCGACAGCAGUUCAAGUUGCUCGAUUUUGGAGAGUUGAGUACUGAGGAGGAAAACAUACCGAAAGAAAUUCCAAAUGCCACGACGGAUGAUCUCUAAACAGGCAACUAUCGUGAUCAAGGCUGUUCUAUGGACGAAAGGUGCUCCUCUAAUUCCUAAUACUGACUGCAUCCAAGCGAGUCUCAGUAGAACAUUCAACCCCUGCAUCAUGUCACAUUAUUCGAUAUUAAUGUCAAACGAUAAGGAACGAAUGGCACUCCAUAAGGGUUGAAGAAGUCAGCUUGUAAGUUGUAAUCCUACCAUGGCAACAAAAUAAACAUUGUGGUUUGAUACGAGGAGUUUAUCUCUCAGCCAAGGGUUCUUAGAAUUUCGUUGCAGAAGACCCCAAUCAAUGACAAUGUCCCAGUAUGUACCGAAAACAGUUGCCACAACUGAACUAACUAUAGCGAGGAUUUUCCAUGUCAUCCCUGCUUUCAUAUCAAAACUUGUUCUCAUGGCUACUGCAACGAUUGUUGAGAAGUAUUUCAGCGCAUUUAACCCUUGCAUUCUGUCUUUCUCCUCUAUCAAGCGUCGCACACACUGCAAGCAGAGAACAGUUAAAACCAUAUACUUUCAUGAAGGAGAAAUUAAAGAGUUUUGAACACAGAAUACCUGAAGCGAACGCAUCCAAUAAGGAAUAAUUGCUACAAUGAAGUAGAAAGAUUUAAAAACGUGGCUGUCAAGGCAGUUGUGUGAUCUUUUUUUGAAGUCCCCCCAACCGUAAUAGCAAACGUAGAAUUCCAAACUCCUGAAGGCUUGAACCUGAAUGAAAAUUUACAACAUUACUCGAUCAUAAGCAACACAAGUAUCAAUACGCUAAAUGAAUCAUAGUAGUGUCAGUACCUGGCUAGUAAGCUGAUCUGCCAAGAAAAAAUCCGGGAGGGUAACCUACCGAAAAAACAAACAAAAUUUUUAUGUGUUCUACUUGAGCGUAUCCGAUUAGUAUGCCCACAGGAAGAAGUUAUGCUCUGGUUACCUUAUAAAGAGGAGCAAGAAGACAACGGAAUAUGCACAGGAGGAGGAAAUAUCGACUGGAACGAUAUAUAAUGUUGAAAGGACAAACCAUUAUAAGAAGCACAACCUGCAAAUGUAAUAUAUCCAUGAAAAAGAUUCAUGAGCAAACUGUUUUAACAAAGUAAAUCAGUUUUGUUGAAGAAUCUCUCUCUUACAAUGACUAGGCCCAGGGGGACCAAUUCUUUCACGGCUACGUAGCUUUUUGUUCUCGGAUCCAACUCCAUAUCCAAAUUUGAGAUGGUACCAGCCAAUGCGAGAAUUGCAAGUCCUGAACUGAUAAGGAAUAGCUGUCUGUAACCAAUCUCUGACCCUUGGUUGAAGCCAAAGAUAAAUGGAUAAUUUACACGAUAGCGCCUCCAAAAGAAUAUGUUCCCUGAGAACAUGAUCAGAUGUAGGACAAUGAAUCCAAACAAACUGCAAAAGUGGGAAAAUGAAUGAUCGUCAAGAAACAAAAAGCUAUGCAGGUUUAAAUUUCUCCACAGAUGUAGAUAUGAUGGGAUAACUAUUAUGCACACACUCGCCUGUACAGCGGAAAUAUGUUUUCCAUGUACAGAUCAUGCCCGUUGCUCUUAAGGAUAUUUCUUGCAUGCAUAAGCACAAUGAUGGCUACUGCAAGUGCAAUCGAGCCCCCGAAGAGCAGCCCUGCAGGUACACAACAUUAAAAUGAUCAUUGAUAUCUUGCGUAAGGUCCACUAGAUAUGGAAACUGAGAAAGAACAAAGAACUUGUCAUUCAGAUAGCACUACUCUUACCCAAGAAAAAUGUAUUUCUAUGCUUUUCCCUUUUGGUUUUCGGUCUUAAUGUCUUCAUUCCUUUUCUUCGAUUUCCAUUUGCGAAGUGCUUUAUGAAGGUACUCUCCACCCUUUCCAUAAGCCUAGUAACCUGCGAAGCCAAAGGAUGGAUCAUAAGAAAAAGCUUUAGACGGGCAAUGGUCUGGAUUCGUGGUAAUCGUCUGGAUCAGAAAAAAAAGCUUCACUCACUUCAUCGCUGCUACCGAGAUAAGAAUUAUCCACCAUAUUCAAGUAAGCCUUCGAUGCAGGCCUUGAAGAGAACUGCACAAUCACACGGUUAGUAUGAUCGAAACAAAUACUUUCAAUUUUGAAUGGAUGAAUCGGAAACAAAGCAACCAAACCUUGUCAUAUUUCUUCAUGAUCUUCGAGAAGGCCAAUUGAUUAAGGAAACUGCACCCUCCAUUAGCAAUAUAAUCAGUCAUACAUAGCACUAAUUUUUCGAGUAAUGUAAUCAGGUUUUGUCAUGUUACCAGUAGCUUUUCAAAAGCCGGAGCUUUUUGUAGAACUCGCUAAAAGCCUGUGUCAUUUGCUCUUCUACUUUCUUCAGCUCUUUCUUGCUGAAUGAUAAGUCGGGUUUCGUAUUCGGCUGGAAUAUGCUUUUGAUUGUUGAUACAGGAGUUUCAGGCACCACGUUGAUCUUUAUAUGAUUCAAAACCUCUAGUGGUUGUGGUUUAAACCCCUUAAUAUCCACCGUGCCUCUGUUGGGUUUCCGGUCAGCGGUUUCCAAUUCCUCGAUUCCCCUCUCUUCAUCUUCUUCCAAUAUUUCUCCUUCAUUGCUCAUCUCAACUUCUUGAAUUACAUCCAUAUCUUUCCCUCCUUCACAGUCAAAACAAAUACUUCAAAUAUUAGGGAAAAAUGAAAAAAAAAAAUCUUAUUGAAUUAAGAAUCUUAUGCGCCUUUUUUCACCUUCUGCACUCCUUCCCUCAAUUAUGUAAUUGAUUUAUGGCUCGAAAAAAAAUGGAAUGCAGAAGGUGAAAAGGGUAAUUCGGAAAAUCACUUCCUUCCCCAAAUCUAUUGAACUUAAAGCCUAUGUUAUCUAAAGUUUCAAACUUUAUAUAACAUGGAAUCUACUAAGAAACCAAAAGAAAUACAACUAAAAAAGUUCACAUUUAUUUUUUUGCUUCUUAAUUACCUGUUUUUCUACCACUUGGAUGAACAAAUGAGACUGAAGAAAUCCCAUUGCUUGCCAAUUCACUUCCUCCUCCAAUAUCCACCUUUGGAUUAUCAACCUUUAACCUAAGAGCGAUCAAACCAUCCAUCUGCCUACUCAACUCCUCAGCCUCCUCCACAACUUCCCCAACUUUCUUCUUGUAAAAGCAAUUCACUUUGUUAAACUCAUCGUCCAGGCUCCUAAAAAACACCUCCUCAAACUCUCCUCCGUCCUCGGACGGCAUCAAGAACCUUGUCUGCCACUGCCCUUCCUCCCCUUCUUCAGCCACAAGUAUCUCCUCGUCCUCCAUCUUCCUCAGCGAGCCGCGUUGUCGGCUUGUCAGCCCACUGAAUGCUCUGUAGAGUGACACCCUCCGCUUUAGUACCGACCCUGCCGGCGUCGUGGCCAUUGGUGUUGAUGAUGCAUAUUUCUUCCGGAAACGCAGGAUGUCUUUUAUGAUAAGCUUGAGAGAGUUGUAGUCCAUGUAUGCUUCUCGCCAUUCCGGCACCAUUUGCGAAACGAACUCUUUUCCGAACUUCAUCUUCUUCCUCCUCCAACCAAGCCCUCAACGAGUACGUAGCUCAGUUGAUUACGAACAUUCACUCUUGCACUCGGAAGCUUUGGUUUAUUUAGGCAACCGUGUUGCGUUCUUGCUUUUGUACAUUGCUUCUGUUCAGAUGUGAGAUUCGAGAAAGAAGACGUUCUCUGUACAAGGAAGGUUGUCUCGUAUCAUUUAACGUGAAUUUUAUUUUUAUUUUUGGUAAAAUCCAAAUCAAUAUAACAUGUAGAAUUCUUUAUUUUUGGAAGCUUCCCUCCUUAUUUUUCGACAAAACAACGCCCAAUUCAAAUUUAAACCUAUUUAAUCUACGUGAAAGAGAAUUAGAACUACAUGCAAAUGGGCAAUAACAAGCAAACUGACUUAGGUGCAGUUUGGGAUUGAGAUGAUUAAAAAAAAAACUGGUAUGAAAAAAAGUCGGGAGUUUUUUUGUGUUUGGUAAACAUUCAGCUUCAGUUUUUUUUCACAGUUUUGGGUGAAAAAAAACUAAAAACAAGAAGCUGCAAAACCCAGCUUUGAAAAACCGGCUUUUUUCACAUCUGUUUUACAUAAAAGUUUACCAAACACUAUAAUACUACUUUUUUUUUUUUCCAAAAGCAUUUUUACAAAAAAGUUUACCAAACACUCUACAGCUUUAUUUCACAGCCGUUUAUUCUCACAGUUCAGUAGAAACAGUUUUUUUUUUUCAAAACACAACAAUACCAAACCAGCCCUUAGAUUGACUGACCUAAUCCACGUCCGUCGAUAUUAAAGAUCGCUCGCCAACAUGCUCCACUGUUAUCUACUUGUUACAACCACACCUAUCACCUGUGGUCCUGCUUUUUGUUGUCUUCCAUGGAUGAAUAUGCAGUCGCGGACGUAUGCUGUCAAUGAUGUAACAGGAGUAAAUGUACUCGACCAAGACUGGGGUAACCAGAGUAAAUGCACUUGACUAAGACUGGACUAUAUUUAGUUAGCUGGCUUUUCAACAUUUGUUCUUAAUUUGAUUUGUUCCUUUACAUGCUAAGAUCUUUUCUCUUUUGAUCACUUGCGUUGUACAAAAAUUAACGCAGAAUCUGCAACUCUCGAAUGUGCAGAUAAGCAAAUUUCAUGGUGGAUGCUAUAACUUUCUUAGGCCAUCAUGUUGAUAAUUUGUGUAUUUGGGAUGGGAUGAUCCUUCCUCAAGCUAUAAAUGCUUCCUUGUUUGACUCUCGACGUCUCUUAAAAUUAAUACUUUUGUUAAUCACUUGAGUUACAAAAAAAGACUGUGUUACAAGAUAUGAUGAUUUGUUGCAUUAACUUUGGUUAGGUAAUAUAUACAAAUUACACUAAAUUUUUGGGGGUAAAUUACAUAGUAGCCCCUCAGGUUUGAGCUCUAUUGCAAUCUCAUACAACAUCUUUAAAACAUUUUACUUUCAUACCUCAAGUACUAUUUUAUUUCAAUUUCAUACAACCGUUAGAUUUUCCAUCCAUGGAUCUGUUAAAUGCUGACGUGGCUGCCACAUAUAUGACACGUGGCUGCCAAAUGUCUGCCACGUGGCAAAAUAAAUAAUUUUUUUAAUUUAAAAAAAAAAACACAUACUUUGUUCACUUUUUUUCUUCUUUCUUCUUCUUCUUCUUCUUUUUCUUCUUCUCUUCACCUUUUCUGGGUUCGAUUCUUUUUUCUUCUUUCUUUUCUCCCUCCUUCUUUUCUUCUCCUCUCUUCUUUCUUCUUCCUCCUCUUCUUCUGGAUUCGAUUCCCUUUCUUCUUUUUUUUUUCUUUUUCUUUCUUCUUCUUCUCUUUCUUCUUCUCUUCUUCUUCUUCUCUCUUCUUCUCUUCUUCUUCUUUCUCUUUCUUCUUUCUUUUUUCUUUUUCUUUUCUUCUUCUUCUCUCUUCUCUUCUUCUCUCCUUCUUCCUCUCUUCUCUUUCUCUUCUUCCUCCUUCGACCUUUUUUUUUUUUUUUUUCUCUUUUUCUUCUUCUCUCUUUCUCUUUCUUCUUCUUCUUUUCUCUUUCUUUUUCUUUCUUCUUCUGGGUUCGGACCUUUUUUUUUUUAUCUUCUUCUUCUUCUUCUCCCUCCUCCUCCUCUUUCUUCUUCUCUUCUUCUUCUUCCUCCUUUUUCUUGGUUCGGUCCCUUUUUUUUUUUUUUUUUUUUUUCUUUCUUCUUCUUCUUCUUCUUCCUCCUUCUUCUGGGUUCGGACCCCUUUCUUUUUUCUUUUUUUUUCUUCUUCUUCUUCUUCUUUCUCCUCCCUCCUCUUUCUUCUUCUUCUUCUCUUCUUUUUCUUCUUCUUCUGGGUUCGGACCUUUUUUUUUUUUCUUCCCAAUUUCAGGUUUUUAAAAAAAAAAUUAAAAAAUUAUUUUAUGGGUUCGGACCUUUUUUUUUCUUCCAAUUUCAGGUUUUAAAAAAAAAAUUAAAAAAUUAUUUUAUUUGCCACGUGGCAGACAUUUGGCAGCCACGUGUCAUAUAUGUGGCAGCCACGUCAGCAUUUAACAUAUCCAUGGAUGGAAAAUCUAACGGUUGUAUGAAAUUGAAAUAAAAUAGUACUUGAGGUAUGAAAGUGAAAUGUUUUAAAGAUGUUGUAUGAGAUUGCAAUAGAGCUCAAACCUGAGGGGCUACUAUGUAAUUUACCCAAUUUUUGGGGUGGGGUUUCACACAUAACUAGAUAUAUACACAUUGAUACAAAUAUAUAUUUACAUUUAAUGGUGAGAAAACAAAUUGAUAUCAGUAUUGAACUCGUCAUUAAAAAAAAUUAUAAUCUAACCAAAAAUUAAGUAUGGUUGUUGGAUGGUGUUUUGGUUGAGGAGGACGAUUAUAAAUCGGAUAAUGCUAGGAAGACCAAAAUUUUAAACCAAAAUUUGCAAAUCAAAUGAUAUGUCACAAAUAAGAAAUAAGCGUGUUAAUCAACACUUAAGUAACAACUCAAUCAUCAAAACAUCAUUUGGUUUACAAAAUUUAGUUUAAAAUUUUGGUCUCUGUAGCAUUAUCCUUAUAAACCGUUAGGAUUUAAAUAAUGUGAUGGUAUUUUUUUUUUUAAUAAACGAUAUUAUCUAUAUUAAGGGAGGGGGCGCGGGCUUAAUGUAUUUGGUAUUUAAAUUUCAAUAAUGUGAUUUGGUAGGCCAAGAGUUGUACACGUUUUGCACCAAAAUGUGUUUCAAAUAUCUAAUUACAGGGUACAUUUUUGCUCAUAACUCUCAAGUGGUGGUCAUGCUCACCAUUUUAUUUCUUAGUAUUUGAUUAGUUUAAAUUUUAAGAUUUACGUCUAUUCACUACAUACAUCUCGAAAUUUAAACUCAUCGAAAUGAUAUAAAUAAAAUAGUGAGCAUAACAUCACUUGAGGGUAGUGAGCAAAAAUAGAGAAAUACUAAGGAAACUCUCAAAAGUGGGAUUCUCCAUAUACUAUUUGCUAUAUAAUGUUAAAGUGACAGAAUCAACAAAAAGUCUCGCUUUAAGAUAAUAUCCUCGGUAUUUCUCGCAAAAAUAUUCCUUAUAAUUACAGCUGGGACAUGCACAUUAAUAUUGCCAACGACAAAUGCAAUCUUAUCCUUCUAAAAUCAAUAUGCAAAUUUGAAAUUAUUCGGUAGGCUAACUAACCCAAACAAUCAUACUUUGGCCACAAGAAGCGACAUCUUUGAGGGUGUUUUUUAUUACAACCCGAUAUUUUAAUUUUAUUAUGAGAGUUUGAGUUUGAAUGCUAGACAUUUGCACGAAUUAUACUUUGGCUAAGUUAGUAAAGUCUCUGCAUUGUGUGUCACCUCACUAAUGUUUGAGUCUCGCUGCCAGCAAUCCUCGUUAAUUUGUAAUCUAUAAAUUUUUUACGUAAAUUCAUACCGGUGACGUGUAAGUCCUUUCAAAUCGAGAUUAUGAGUAUGUCUUGACACUACAAAUUUAGUCCUUCCACUUAGCAUUACCAUUUAAUUUUGGAACCCAGUUAAAGCACCAGCAAUGAGCUGACAUGUCGGCACCUCAUUGGCUCCACCAAAAAUUAAUACCAAAAGAGGGCUUUACUCCCAGAAACCAAGACGUUGACAAACAAAACAGAUCUCCACCACCGUUUGUUGAGAAGCUCAAAAACUCCGACCAAAAAACAACUUCCAAAUUCCGCCAUCGGAGCCGCCACCCACGGCCGGGGUUUCUCUUUCUCGCACAAAAUGUCCCGAGUCAAUUUUGGUAUAAUUCUGAUUCUGGGGUUAAUGUCGACGGUAGCGCAUUCCAUGCGGUUCGACCUCCAAUCGGGCGCCACCAAGUGCAUUUCCGACGACAUAAAGAGCAGCGCCAUGACCGUCGGCAAGUACGCCGUCGUCAACCCCAAUGAGGGAUCUCCUGUACCUGAUUCCCAUAAGCUCACUGUCAGGGUAAUCCCCACACCAUUUCUGUAUGUGGGUCUGUUUCUAUAUCUGAAAAUAUGAUCUGGGUUUUCUUUACUACCAAUUUUACAAUUGGGUUUUUUGUUCAAUCCUGUUUCGAAUCUGCUUUCGGAGUCAAAUGUGGCAAAAAGAUUGAAUCUUUCAGAGUGAAGUUUAAUGUUUAGGCAAAGCAUUGAUUUCUGUAAAUUGGGUAUAUAAUGAUUUGCCUUGUAAGGUUGGAUUUUUGGGAACAGUUUGGAGAUUUGAUCUGGUGAUGCUGUGGUUUGUAACAGGUGACCUCACCUCAUGGAAGUAACUAUCACUAUGGGGAUCAUGUGGAGUCGGGAAAUUUUGCGUUCACUGCUGCAGAGACUGGUGAUUAUUCAGCUUGCUUUUGGGUGUCGGAUCAUAAGCCCUCGACCACGGUGACGAUUGAUUUUGACUGGAAAACUGGUGUUGCUGCUAAGGACUGGUCCAAUGUUGCCAAGAAAGGGCAGAUUGAAGUAAGCAAUCUUCUGCUUGCACAAUGUACAUACCUGCAUUUCGAUAUUUGUUUUUGGUGUUUAUUCCCUUUUUGUGAAUUCUGUCAUAAGCGUAAACUUUGUUCUUCCAUUCUUCAGAAUUUUAUCAGGAAAUGUGAUGCUAGUGAACCCAAAAACUAGGAACACAAGUAUUUGUGGAUUAUGGAUCGAUACUAUGAAGAACAGAGGAUUUCUAAAACUCGUUAGAUUCACAAAAGUACCAAGGAAAAAGAACAAAACUGGAGUCUUUUUUUUUUCAUCUUCUUUCAAUGUAAUAAUAGUUGGUAUGUCUCUUGUGGGCUAGAAAGGCUCUUAUUUAAAGAGUUAGCACCCUCGAAGGAACAGGAUUCGAUAUUGAAAUCUGCCAAUGUUAAUAUUGUUAAUCUGGUUCAUCAUUAAUUAGUAUAUUAACGUUGUAGAAACAUCAAAUGUACUGGUCAAAAGGUACGGUUUUAUGUCUUGUGCUGAUACAUUUUUUUGCCUUGUGCUAGUCGAUGGAACUUGAGCUGAAAAAAUUGUAUGAUACUGUAUCAUCCAUUCAUGAUGAGAUGUUUUAUCUACGUGAAAGGUACGUAAUCAGUAUAUCUUGUGUUGCUAUUUCCAGCACAUGUGUUGGGGUUUAACUUAUAUGAUGUCACCUUAUAAUCCAUGUGCAUGCUUGCAGUUAAAUUGGUUUUCUGUAAAAUUUGAGAAUGUGCUGCUUUAUUCUUUCAAUAUUGCUUAUCGUUGUCACUCUAGUCCAGAUGAGAGAUGAAAGUAAUAGGGACGGUUUCCCGUUCCACUUUAUUUUCUCUCCCCAUUCUUUUGCUUCUUCUUCCUCUUUCCCAUGUUAAAACAUCUCCCUUUAGAAUGAUACCGUUGAAUCCUGCGUAGGACUCAGAUGGUUGUUCCUUUCGGCCACUUAUUAUCAGGAAACUCGUAGAGAACUGUCUGCAACUUUUUGCUAUCAAACAUCUUGCAUUCUUAGAUGCUUUUACACCAGUAACUCAUUUGAAUCGAAAUAUUAGACCCCAUUUAUUCUGAGAUUUCUUUGAUUGAGAAGAGGCGGCAUGUUUCUGUUAUACCUGAUGUUACAUUUUUCCGUUUUCCCUUGUUCUCUUUUUCUUGUCCUGGCUUUUUUCAGGGAGGAAGAAAUGCAACAACUUAAUAGAUCAACUAACUCCAAGAUGGCGGUUUUUAGCGGCCUUUCUCUUUUUGUAUGCCUGUCGGUGGCUGGUUUGCAACUAUGGCACCUCAAGAUGUUCUUUGCGAGGAAGAAGCUCCUCUAGUACCGCUUUGUACUUACUUUCUCAAUUUUUGUUCUGCAGUUAUAUACUCACACUAUUUGUUGUUCCCUGUAUUUUGAGGCCAAAUCCUAAGUUGGACAGUGAUUUGUUCUACUGAGAGGUUAGCUUCUAGGAAGGAGUCCCAUCAGAGUUUCGGUUUGUUUUGUUGAAACUGGUUCUCUACUUUUUUCCAGAGCAAGGAAACUGAUCGACUUCAUCAACAUCAUUUGCAGUCCCCUUCAAUACUUAACGUAUGAGACCCUUCAUCAACAUCGUUCGGCAAUUAAAUAUAUCGUUGUAUCAAAAAAAUUGUUUAUGUGGCUUUGAUUCUCGUACGCGUGAAGUAGGUUGUCUGAGUUUGAAUACCAUAGGCAUUGUUUAUGACUUCCUGUUGUAACACAAGACUCAUAUAUUAAACUCCAUAAUUGAAUUCACCUCUAUACGACUCAAAUUUUCCAGCCCACCGUAUGAGUUUGAGUCUAAUUUAUAAGAAUCCAACACAUUUUAUCGGGAGCUGUUAUUGACACUCUUACUCUGUCAUUAAAUUAGAAUCAAACUCAUUUUAUCAGCAAAUAUUAUUGUCACUUUAAAAAUGCCGUUUUUUACUCAUUAAAACAUUAUCCCAGUAAAAUUUUUACCAAUGUGUGCUAGUAGUGCUCAUUUCUUAGUUAUAAUAUGAUAUUUUUCGAGCGUCAAUAACAACUCACGUUAUCAAUUAAAAUAUCAAAAUCAUUGUUUGUAGGAGCAAAGGUCCCGAGUUCACUAACACAGUUUUAAAAUACCGUAAAUACCCGAACCAAUGUUUCAGUGACCAACAAACCCAUGCCGCUGCCGGGGCAACAACAAUGGCAAGCAAGCCUGAGCUUCAGCCUGGCCUACAUGGCCCAGAACUGCCUCUCCAUGACACACCUCAAGCAAAUCCACGGCCGCGCAGUCGUCACAGACCUCCACCACCACGCCAUCGUCCUCGCCAAGAUGUUCCGUUUCGCCGCCAUCUCACCCGCCGGCGACUUAAGCUACGCCCACCGCCUGUUCGACCAAAUGCCCCGACCAAACACUUUCUUCUACAAUACCCUCAUCCGUGGCCACUCUAAAAGCUCGUCUCCUUCGGAAUCGGUGGUUCUUUUCAACCAGAUGAGGCUUAACUGCGUCGACCCAGAUGAGUUUACCUUCACGUUUUUGCUGAAAUCGCGGUCAAGGAUGAAAAUUGAUGCUGCUCCGAUUGUGGGGUCCGAUGAGAUUCAUGGGAUUGCGUUGAAGUUUGGAUUUUGCGCGCAUUUGUUUGUACAGAACGCAUUGAUUCAUAUAUAUGGGGCGAGAGGGAUAACGGUUGCGGCGAGGCGAGUUUUCGAUGAGGCGGUGGCUCCUGACGUCGUUUCGUGGUCGGGUUUGGUUAUUGCGCAUGUGAGAGCUGGGGAAUUGGAGUUUGCACGGCAGGUGUUUGAUGAGAUGCCUGAGAGGGAUGUGGUUUCCUGGACUGCUAUGAUUUCUGCGUAUUCCCAAGCAAAGUAUUCGAGGGAAGCGCUUGAUUUGUUUUGGGAGAUGAAUCGUGAGGGAGUGAUGCCUGAUGAAGUCACCAUGGUGAGUGUAAUCUCAGCGUGUGCAGAUUCCGCAGAUGUAGAAACGGGGAUAUGCAUCCAUCGAUAUAUUGAUGAGAACGGGUUUUUGUGGAUGGUUUCACUUUGCAAUGCGCUGAUUGACAUGUACGCAAAGUGUGGAUGCAUGGACCGAGCAUGGCAACUGUUCAAUAAGAUGAGCCGGAAGAGCUUGGUCACUUGGAAUUCGAUGAUUUCAGCAUGCGCUAACCAUGGCAAUGCCGAUGAUGCAUUUGGUUUGUUUGAGUGCAUGACCGCUGCUGGUGUUGCACUGGAUGGUGUCACCUUUUUAGCCCUUUUAGUUGCGUAUACACACAAGGGAUUGGUAGAUGAAGGGCUCAAACUAUUCGAGAGAAUGCAAACAGACUAUAGAAUUGAGGCACGAAUUGAGCAUUAUGGUUGUGUGGUUGAUAUGUUAGGGAAGGCAGGACGACUAGAGGAAGCAUACAGAUUGAUUAGUAGUAUGCCAAUUCCGGGCAACGAUGUUGUUUGGGGAACACUGCUUGCAGCUUGCAGAACUUAUGGGGAUGCUGAUAUGGGGGAGAGGGUGGUGAACAGGCUGUUAGAGUUGAAACCAGAUGAAGGGGGAUACUACAUUCUCCUUCGUGAUAUUUAUGUCGCGGCCGGAAGGACAAUGGAAGCAAAUGCAACGAGGCAAAGCAUGAAGGUUAACGGUGCUAGUAAGACUCCCGGAUGCAGCUGGGUGGGAGCAUAACGGUGGCUAGAAGAAGAGUAGAAAUGUAAUCCAUGAGUCUUCGGCUUAGUUUGGUAUUAUUCGCUUGGAUCGCUUACAAAACGUCAAGCGUUAUUAAAAAUGUAACAUCUUUCACGAUUGUUUAGGUGAGUUUGAUUCAUAUACAUAUUAAACUCAAGAACUGUAAUCACUCACCAAACUCAAUUUUUCCGACCUACGAGUGUGAUUCUAUACAAAUUGAAACCAAAUCCAAUUUUCAAGCCCAUUGUGUAGCAAUAAUGUAAAAUCUCACAUCGUCCAGGGAGUACAUCCUCUAAGCCGUAAAUGUAUAUUCUUAUAUCUACCUAGCACAAAGCCUUUUGAGAACUCAUUAGUUUCAGAUUUCAUCAAAACUCCGAAGUUGAGUGAGUUUGGAUGAGUUUGGACGAGAGUAUUCCUAGGAUGGGAUGACUCUCUGAGAAGUUCUCGUAUGAGUUCCCAAAAACAAAAAUGUGAGGGCGUGAUCAAGGCCCAAAACGGACAAUAUCGUAAUAUGACAGAGUCGAACCUGAGAUGUGAUGAGGGCCCGAACCGGGAUGUGACAGAUAAAAGGUUCAUGGAUAAGCUUAACACAUGAAUUAAUGGACUAAACACAAUCCAAUCCAGUUUUAAGUAAGUUUAUUUAGGAGCAACGAUGCACACACGACCACACGCUUGAAUUCGGAUAGCCUCCGUUUAGCGUUUAGAACACACACUCAAACAUGUAACACAACACCAUACCAUUCAAAGGAAAACAUGCCUAAACCCUUUUAUUUAGUAGCUAAAGCACGGCAUGGAUCUCCCGUUAAUAAGGCGGUAAGUAUUAUGAUCACUCAUCGUCAUAGCUCUUGCGAUGGUGGUGCUUGUGGCGGCGCUGCUUUUUCUCCUCAUCGUCAUCUGAGUCGUCAUUUCCCUGCCAUAUUCAGAUAAGAGCAUCAGAUGCAGAUAACACAAGCCAGCCAGCAGUGAUGGGCAAAUAAAAGGAACAUUUUCACACUUUCAGACCACCUUCACCAGAGAUGCAAAGAAUUUACCCAAAGACUACAGAAGGGUGAAGUUGAUUAGGAAACAGAAACAUCAAAGACCUAUAUGCAUUGCUUAGAUUCGAGCAUGUAGUGACACACCCCGACCGCGAUGUCAAAUGAACACCGAAACCAAGACGUGUUGGCCAUCAUCGGGGUGGGUGACGAAGCCAUAACAUGCAUAAAAACGUAACUAAAAAAUGAAGAGAUUAGCCCAUCAUUAAUAUAAAUAACAUGAAUCUAAACAUACAAAUAAAAUUUAAAAGAGCGAAGCGAGGUUCUCACAUAUUUCUUGCGACCAUAGCCUUCUUCACCGUACUUCUGCUCCUCGCUCCUCCCAUAACUGGGCUUCUCGUACUCCCCACUUUCCUGGCCCUCAUAGCUGGGCCUCUCAUAGCUAGGCCUCGGGGGUGGCGGCUCAUCUCCAUAACCGGUCAUCCUCGGCGGUGGUGGCUCAUCUCCAUAACCGGUCAUCCUCGGCGGUGGCGGCUCAUCUCCAUACCCGGUCCUCCUCGGCGGUGGCGGCUCAUCUCCAUAGCCAGUCCUCCUCGGCGGUGGCGGCUCAUCUCCAUAGCCGGUCCUCCUAGGCGGUGGCGGCUCAUCUCCAUAGCCGGUCCUCCUCGGCGGCUCUUCGCCGUGACCUGGCCUCUCAAACUCAGAACUCCCAUAGCUCGGCCUCUCCUCGCUUUCUGGCGUCUCAUAGCUCGGCCGCCCAUAGCUUGGCCUUCUCGGCGGCUCUUCGCCAUAACUACCCUCCUCACCAUAGCUCGGCUUUCUCGGUGGCUCUUCGCCAUAACCAGAUUCCUCACCGUAGCUCGGCUUCCGACCAUACCCAGAUCCGAAUUCAG
Molecule: long non-coding RNA, 40771 nt
Filed under: Malus domestica (apple)
Lineage: Eukaryota; Viridiplantae; Streptophyta; Magnoliopsida; Rosales; Rosaceae
Description: long non-coding RNA (MDOM_LNC007901)
Source: RNAcentral